AUGAACGCUGGCGGCGUGCCUCAUACAUGCAAGUCGAGCGAACAGACGAGGAGCUUGCUCCUCUGACGUUAGCGGCGGACGGGUGAGUAACACGUGGAUAACCUACCUAUAAGACUGUGAUAACUUCGGGAAACCGGAGCUAAUACCGGAUAAUAUAUUGAACCGCAUGGUUCAAUAGUGAAAGACGGUUUUGCUGUCACUUAUAGAUGGAUCCGCGCCGCAUUAGCUAGUUGGUAAGGUAACGGCUUACCAAGGCAACGAUGCGUAGCCGACCUGAGAGGGUGAUCGGCCACACUGGAACUGAGACACGGUCCAGACUCCUACGGGAGGCAGCAGUAGGGAAUCUUCCGCAAUGGGCGAAAGCCUGACGGAGCAACGCCGCGUGAGUGAUGAAGGUCUUCGGAUCGUAAAACUCUGUUAUUAGGGAAGAACAAAUGUGUAAGUAACUAUGCACGUCUUGACGGUACCUAAUCAGAAAGCCACGGCUAACUACGUG
This 496-nucleotide ribosomal RNA is filed under the name uncultured bacterium. Its description in RNAcentral is "partial 16S ribosomal RNA". It matches the Rfam family "Bacterial small subunit ribosomal RNA", at positions 29 to 507 of the family's 1533-position model. The record is from RNAcentral.